This 251-nucleotide ribosomal RNA is filed under the name uncultured bacterium. Its description in RNAcentral is "partial 16S ribosomal RNA". It matches the Rfam family "Bacterial small subunit ribosomal RNA", at positions 525 to 775 of the family's 1533-position model. The record is from RNAcentral.
ACGUAGGUGGCGAGCGUUAUCCGGAAUUAUUGGGUGUAAAGGGUGCGUAGGCGGGACGUAAAGUCAGAUGUGAAAUGCGGAGGCUCAACCUCCGAACUGCAUUUGAAACUUACGUUCUUGAGUGGAGUAGAGGCAAGCGGAAUUCCCGGUGUAGCGGUGAAAUGCAUAGAUAUCGGGAGGAACACCAGUGGCGAAGGCGGCUUGCUGGGCUUUUACUGACGCUGAGGCACGAAAGUGUGGGGAGCAAACAG